This 368-nucleotide ribosomal RNA is filed under the name uncultured bacterium. Its description in RNAcentral is "bacterial SSU rRNA". It matches the Rfam family "Bacterial small subunit ribosomal RNA", at positions 527 to 893 of the family's 1533-position model. The record is from RNAcentral.
GAAGGGUGCAAGCGUUACUCGGAAUUACUGGGCGUAAAGCGUGCGUAGGUGGUUCGUUAAGUCUGUCGUGAAAGCCCCGGGCUCAACCUGGGAAUGGCGAUGGAUACUGGCGAGCUAGAGUGCGGUAGAGGAGAGUGGAAUUCCCGGUGUAGCAGUGAAAUGCGUAGAGAUCGGGAGGAACAUCAGUUGCGAAGGCGGCUCUCUGGACCAGCACUGACACUGAGGCACGAAAGCGUGGGGAGCAAACAGGAUUAGAUAUCCUGGUAGUCCACGCCCUAAACGAUGCGAACUGGACGUUGGGAGCAAUCAGGCUCUCAGUGUCGAAGCUAACGCGUUAAGUUCGCCGCCUGGGGAGUACGGUCGCAAGA